GAACGGAAAGGCCCUGCUUGCAGGGUGCUCGAGUGGCGAACGGGUGAGUAACACGUGGGUGAUCUGCCCUGCACUUCGGGAUAAGCUUGGGAAACUGGGUCUAAUACCGGUAUAGGACCACAUGCUGCAUGGUGUGUGGUGGAAAACGUUUUAGUGGUGUGGGAUGGGCCCGCGGCCUAUCAGCUUGUUGGUGGGGUGAUGGCCUACCAAGGCGACGACGGGUAGCCGGCCUGAGAGGGCGUCCGGCCACACUGGGACUGAGAUACGGCCCAUACUCCUACGGGAGGCAGCAGUGGGGAAUAUUGCACAAUGGGCGCAAGCCUGAUGCAGCGACGCCGCGUGGGGGAUGACGGCCUUCGGGUUGUAAACCUCUUUCACCAUCGACGAAGGCCUACUUUUGGUGGGUUGACGGUAGGUGGAGAAUAAGCACCGGCCAACUACGUGCCAGCAGCCGCGGUAAU
RNAcentral lists this ribosomal RNA (461 nucleotides) under uncultured bacterium. RNAcentral's name for it is "bacterial SSU rRNA". It matches the Rfam family "Bacterial small subunit ribosomal RNA", at positions 64 to 524 of the family's 1533-position model. The record is from RNAcentral.